UGUGGCCUUGUUAGAGGAAGUGUGUCAUUGGGGAUAGGCUUUGAGGUUUCAGAUGCUCAAGCCAGGCCCAGUGUUUCACUCUCUUCCUGUUGCCUG
RNAcentral lists this microRNA precursor (96 nucleotides) under Mesocricetus auratus (golden hamster). Its description in RNAcentral is "miRNA (ENSMAUG00000004272.1)". The record is from RNAcentral. Lineage: Eukaryota; Metazoa; Chordata; Mammalia; Rodentia; Cricetidae.